CCCUUAGAUGUCCUGGGCCGCACGCGUGCUACACUGACGCCUACAGCGAGUACUUCCCAGCCCCGAAAGGCGGCUGGUAAUCAGCAAUAGGCGUCGUGAUGGGGAUAGAUCUUUGGAAUUCUGGAUCUUGAACGAGGAAUGCCUAGUAAGCGCGGGUCAUUAGCCCGCGUUGAUUAAGUCCCUGCCCUUUGUACACACCGCCCGUCGCUCCUACCGAUUGAGUGGUCCGGUGAAAGCCUCGGACCGUGGCAGCGUUGCUUUAUUGGAGCGCCGCCGUGGGAAGUUGUUUAAACCUUACCAUUUAGAGGAAGGUGAAGUCGUAACA
This 325-nucleotide ribosomal RNA is filed under the name uncultured eukaryote. Its description in RNAcentral is "partial 18S ribosomal RNA". It matches the Rfam family "Eukaryotic small subunit ribosomal RNA", at positions 1470 to 1796 of the family's 1831-position model. The record is from RNAcentral.